Oncorhynchus keta (chum salmon) is the source of this 1934-nucleotide long non-coding RNA. RefSeq lists it as uncharacterized. Lineage: Eukaryota; Metazoa; Chordata; Actinopteri; Salmoniformes; Salmonidae. The transcript has 4 exons. The record is from RefSeq and is a predicted model, not a curated record.
UUAGAGUGUAGAGGAGGCAGGGUAGUCUAGUGGUUAGAGUGUAGAGGUGGCAGGUAGCCUAGUGGUUAGAGUGUAGAGGCGGCAGGUAGCCUAGUGGUUAGAGUGUAGAGGUGGCAGGUAGCCUAGUGGUUAGAGUGUAGAGGCGGCAGGUAGCCUAGUGGUUAGAGUGUAGAGGUGGCAGGUAGCCUAGUGGUUAGAGUGUAGAGGUGGCAGGUAGCCUAGUGGUUAGAGUGUAGAGGUGGCAGGUAGCCUAGUGGUUAGAGUGUAGAGGUGGCAGGUAGUCUAGUGGUUAGAGUGUAGAGGUGGCAGGGUAGCCUAGUGGUUAGAGUGUAGAGGUGGCAGGUAGCCUAGUGGUUAGAGUUUAGAGGUGGCAGGUAGCCUAGUGGUUAGAGUGUAGAGGUGGCAGGUAGCCUAGUGGUUAGAGUGUAGAGGUGGCAGGUAGCCUAGUGGUUAGAGUGUAGAGGUGGCAGGGUAGCCUAGUGGUUAGAGUGUAGAGGUGGCAGGUAGCCUAGUGGUUAGAGUGUAGAGGUGGCAGGUAGCCUAGUGGUUAGAGUGUAGAGGAGGCAGGUAGCCUAGUGGUUAGAGUGUAGAGGUGGCAGGUAGCCUAGUGGUUAGAGUGUAGAGGAGGCAGGUAGCCUAGUGGUUAGAGUGUAGAGGUGGCAGGUAGCCUAGUGGUUAGAGUGUAGAGGUGGCAGGUAGCCUAGUGGUUAGAGUGUAGAGGAGGCAGGUAGCCUAGUGGUUAGAGUGUAGAGGCGGCAGGUAGCCUAGUGGUUAGAGUGUAGAGGUGGCAGGUAGCCUAGUGGUUAGAGUGUAGGGGCGGCAGGUAGCCUAGUGGUUAGAGUGUAGAGGUGGCAGGUAGCCUAGUGGUUAGAGUGUAGAGGCGGCAGGUAGCCUAGUGGUUAGAGUGUAGAGGUGGCAGGUAGCCUAGUGGUUAGAGUGUAGAGGUGGCAGGUAGCCUAGUGGUUAGAGUGUAGAGGUGGCAGGUAGCCUAGUGGUUAGAGUGUAGAGGUGGCAGGUAGCCUAGUGGUUAGAGUGUAGAGGAGGCAGGUAGCCUAGUGGUUAGAGUGUAGAGGCGGCAGGUAGCCUAGUGGUUAGAGUGUAGAGGUGGCAGGUAGCCUAGUGGUUAGAGUGUAGAGGCGGCAGGUAGCCUAGUGGUUAGAGUGUAGAGGUGGCAGGUAGCCUAGUGGUUAGAGUGUAGAGGUGGCAGGUAGCCUAGUGGUUAGAGUGUAGAGGUGGCAGGUAGCCUAGUGGUUAGAGUGUAGAGGUGGCAGGUAGUCUAGUGGUUAGAGUGUAGAGGUGGCAGGUAGCCUAGUGGUUAGAGUGUAGAGGUGGCAGGUAGCCUAGUGGUUAGAGUUUAGAGGUGGCAGGUAGCCUAGUGGUUAGAGUGUAGAGGUGGCAGGUAGCCUAGUGGUUAGAGUGUAGAGGUGGCAGGUAGCCUAGUGGUUAGAGUGUAGAGGUGGCAGGGUAGCCUAGUGGUUAGAGUGUAGAGGUGGCAGGUAGCCUAGUGGUUAGAGUGUAGAGGUGGCAGGUAGCCUAGUGGUUAGAGUGUAGAGGAGGCAGGUAGCCUAGUGGUUAGAGUGUAGAGGUGGCAGGUAGCCUAGUGGUUAGAGUGUAGAGGAGGCAGGUAGCCUAGUGGUUAGAGUGUAGAGGUGGCAGGUAGCCUAGUGGUUAGAGUGUAGAGGUGGCAGGUAGCCUAGUGGUUAGAGUGUAGAGGAGGCAGGUAGCCUAGUGGUUAGAGUGUAGAGGCGGCAGGUAGCCUAGUGGUUAGAGUGUAGAGGUGGCAGGUAGCCUAGUGGUUAGAGUGUAGAGGUGGCAGGUAGCCUAGUGGUUAGAGUGUAGAGGUGGCAGGUAGCCUAGUGGUUAGAGUGUAGAGGUGGCAGGUAGCCUAGUGGUUAGAGUGUAGAGGAGGCAGGUAGCCUAGUGGUUAGAGUGUA